This 250-nucleotide ribosomal RNA is filed under the name uncultured prokaryote. Its description in RNAcentral is "partial 16S ribosomal RNA". It matches the Rfam family "Bacterial small subunit ribosomal RNA", at positions 524 to 773 of the family's 1533-position model. The record is from RNAcentral.
UACGGAGGGCGCGAGCGUUAUCCGGAUUCAUUGGGUUUAAAGGGUGCGCAGGCGGCGCGGCGAGUCGGCGGUGAAAUCCCGGGGCCCAACCCCGGAAGUGCCGUCGAUACUGCCGUGCUGGAAUGCGGUUGAGGGGGGCGGAACGUGGCGUGUAGCGGUGAAAUGCGUAGAUAUGCCACAGAACGCCGAUGGCGGAGGCAGCUCGCCAGGCCUGCAUUGACGCUCGGGCACGAAAGCGUGGGGAUCGAAC